RNAcentral lists this unclassified non-coding RNA (200 nucleotides) under soil metagenome. RNAcentral's name for it is "partial contains internal transcribed spacer 2 and large subunit ribosomal RNA". The record is from RNAcentral.
GCCUGUUCGAGCGUCAUUACAACCCUCAAGCUCUGCUUGGUAUUGGGCGUCACCACCUGGUGCGCCCCAAAAUCAGUGGCGGUGCGUCUGGCUUCAAGCGUAGUAAUUUCUCUCGCUUUGGAGUCCGGGCGAGUGCUCGCCAGAACCCCCAAUUUAUCAAGGUUGACCUCGGAUCAGGUAGGGAUACCCGCUGAACUUAA